RNAcentral lists this small nuclear RNA (70 nucleotides) under Vulpes vulpes (red fox). The record is from RNAcentral. Lineage: Eukaryota; Metazoa; Chordata; Mammalia; Carnivora; Canidae.
GUGGUUGCUCCCACAGUACAUAUACUAAAAUUGGAAUGAUUCAGAGAAGAUUAGUAUGGCCUCUGUGCAA